UUACGGUCAAAUCACGCUGAAAAACACCGGUUCUCGUUCGAUCACCGUUAAGCAUCGUGGCCAGGUCAGUACUUUGAUGGGGACCGCUUGGGAACACCUAAUG
RNAcentral lists this ribosomal RNA (103 nucleotides) under Acanthosepion pharaonis. Lineage: Eukaryota; Metazoa; Mollusca; Cephalopoda; Sepiida; Sepiidae. The record is from RNAcentral.